RNAcentral lists this non-coding RNA (28 nucleotides) under Rattus norvegicus (Norway rat). Lineage: Eukaryota; Metazoa; Chordata; Mammalia; Rodentia; Muridae. The record is from RNAcentral.
UACCAGGAUGGGACUUGUCUAGCAUUCU